UACGUAGGUGGCAAGCGUUGUCCGGAUUUAUUGGGCGUAAAGCGAGCGCAGGCGGUUCCUUAAGUCUGAUGUGAAAGCCCACGGCUCAACCGUAGAAGGUCAUUGGAAACUGGGGAACUUGAGUGCAGAAGAGGAGAGUGGAAUUCCAUGUGUAGCGGUGAAAUGCGUAGAUAUAUGGAGGAACACCAGUGGCGAAGGCGACUCUCUGGUCUGUAACUGACGCUGAGGCUCGAAAGCGUGGGGAGCAAACAGGAUUAGAUA
RNAcentral lists this ribosomal RNA (261 nucleotides) under uncultured prokaryote. RNAcentral's name for it is "partial 16S ribosomal RNA". It matches the Rfam family "Bacterial small subunit ribosomal RNA", at positions 524 to 784 of the family's 1533-position model. The record is from RNAcentral.